AUACGGAGGGGGCUAGUGUUGUUCGGAAUUACUGGGCGUAAAGCGCACGUAGGCGGAUUAAAAAGUUAGAGGUGAAAUCCCAGGGCUUAACCCUGGAACUGCCUUUAAAACUAGUAGUCUAGAGUUCGAGAGAGGUGAGUGGAAUUCCAAGUGUAGAGGUGAAAUUCGUAGAUAUUUGGAGGAACACCAGUGGCGAAGGCGGCUCACUGGCUCGAUACUGACGCUGAGGUGCGAAAGCGUGGGGAGCAAACAGAAUUAGAAACCCGGGUAGUCC
This 274-nucleotide ribosomal RNA is filed under the name uncultured bacterium. Its description in RNAcentral is "partial 16S ribosomal RNA". It matches the Rfam family "Bacterial small subunit ribosomal RNA", at positions 523 to 796 of the family's 1533-position model. The record is from RNAcentral.